GCGCAAGCCUGAUCCAGCAAUGCCGCGUGAGUGAAGAAGGCCUUCGGGUUGUAAAGCUCUUUCAGUUGAGAAGAAAAAAUUCUGGCUAAUACCNGGNNUUNAUGACGGUAUCGACAGAAGAAGCACCGGCUAACUACGUGCCAGCAGCCGCGGUAAUACGUAGGGUGCAAGCGUUAAUCGGAAUUACUGGGCGUAAAGGGUGCGCAGGUGGUUUUGUAAGUCAGAUGUGAAAUCCCCGGGCUUAACCUGGGAAUUGCGUUUGAAACUACAAGACUAGAGUGUGGCAGAGGGGGGUGGAAUUCCAUGUGUAGCAGUGAAAUGCGUAGANAUAUGGAAGAACAUCGAUGGCGAAGGCAGNCCCCUGGGUUAACACUGACACUCAUGCACGAAAGCGUGGGGAGCAAACAGGAUUAGAUACCCUGGUAGUCCACGCCCUAAACUAUGUCAACUAGUUGUUGGGUCUUAUUAGACUUAGGUAACGAAGCUNACGCGUGAAGUUGACCGCCUGGGGAGUACGGUCGCAAGAUUA
This 529-nucleotide ribosomal RNA is filed under the name uncultured bacterium. Its description in RNAcentral is "bacterial SSU rRNA". It matches the Rfam family "Bacterial small subunit ribosomal RNA", at positions 375 to 896 of the family's 1533-position model. The record is from RNAcentral.